CCUACGGGAGGCAGCAGUGAGGAAUAUUGGUCAAUGGCCGGAAGGCUGAACCAGCCAAGCCGCGUGCAGGACGCAGGUGCCAAGCAUUGUAAACUUCUUUUGUCAAGGGACAAAAUCAGGCUCGAGAGCCUGACCGAUGGUACUUGAAGAAAAAGCAUCGGCUACCUCCGUGCCAGCAGCCGCGGUAAUACGGGGGAUGCGAGCGUUAUCCGGAUUUAGUGGGGUAAAUGGGUGCGUAGGGGGACUGUUAAGUCAGAGGUAAAAGCCCGGGGCUCAACCCCGGCGAGCCGUUGAAACUGGCUGUCUUGAGAUGUCGAGAGGCAUGCGGAAUGCGCAGUGUAGCGGUGAAAUGCUUAGAUAUUGCGCAGAACUCCGAUUGCGAAGGCAGCAUACCGGCGGCGAUCUGACGCUGAGGCACGAAAGCGUGGGUAUCGAACAGGAUUAGAUACCCGAGUAGUC
This 459-nucleotide ribosomal RNA is filed under the name uncultured bacterium. Its description in RNAcentral is "partial 16S ribosomal RNA". It matches the Rfam family "Bacterial small subunit ribosomal RNA", at positions 338 to 795 of the family's 1533-position model. The record is from RNAcentral.